GCCUGUGUGGUGAAGUGUUUUGAGCAUUGGACUAGGACUCCGGAGACCAAGGCUCGAAUCCCAGCUCAGCCA
Molecule: non-coding RNA, 72 nt
Organism: Phrynosoma platyrhinos (Desert horned lizard)
Lineage: Eukaryota; Metazoa; Chordata; Lepidosauria; Squamata; Phrynosomatidae
Source: the annotation of a GenBank genome assembly